GAGCACACAGGUGGAUACCUUGGCACGACAGGCGAUGAAGGACGUAGCAGGCUGCGAAAAGCCUGGGGGAGCUGCCAACAAGCGAUGAUCCCAGGAUAUCCGAAUGGGGCAACCCACGUGGCGUCAUGGUCACGUACUCCGCGAUGAAUACAAUAGUCGCGGUAGAGCAUACCCGGUGAACUGAAACAUCUAAGUAGCCGGAGGAAAAGACAUCAACCGAGAUUCCCGUAGUAGUGGCGAGCGAACCGGGAAGAGCCUAAACCCCGCACGUGUAAGCAUAGCAGCGUUGCGUGAAGGGGGGUUGCACGGCAAUCAGUCGAGGGUGCUAUACCUCGAGGUCAGUAAGAAAUCCGAUCGAAAGACGAAGCCGGCUGGAAAGCCGCACCAAAGACGGUGAUAGUCCCGUAAUCGAAUUCGUUCGGACUGACUCGAUUGUUCGUAAGUAGGGCGGGGCACGAGAAACCCUGUCUGAAUCUGGGAGGACCAUCUUCCAAGGCUAAAUAUUCUGUCGUGACCGAUAGCGCAUAGUACCGUGAGGGAAAGGUGAAAAGAACCCCCGAAGGGGAGUGAAAUAGAACAUGAAACCGUGUGCUUACAAACCGUGAAAGGCCAAUGCGCAAGCAAGGCUAAUCGCGUGCCUAUUGAAGAAUGAACCUGCGAGUUACGUGGUACAGGCUUGGUUAAGGUGAUGAGCCGGAGCCGCAGCGAAAGCGAGUCUGAAUAGGGCAAUUCGUCUGUAUCAGUAGACCCGAAACCAAGCGAUCUAUCCAUGAGCAGGCUGAAGCAUGAUUAAUCUCAUGUGGAGGGCCGAACCUGUUGUUGUUGAAAAAACAUUGGAUGACUUGUGGAUAGGGGUGAAAAGCCAAUCGAGCUUGGAGAUAGCUGGUUCUCCCCGAAAUAGUUUGAGGACUAGCGUUGCGUAUUAAACCUUGGGGGUAGAGCACUGACAGGGCUAGGGGCCUUACCGGGUUACCGAACCCCAUCAAACUCCGAAUACCAGGGCGUAUCGCGCAGCAGUCAGACGGUGGGGGAUAAGCUCCAUCGUCAAAAGGGAAACAGCCCAGAUCAUCAGCUAAGGUCCCUAAUCGAUGCUCAGUGGUAAAGGAAGUCGUUUCGCACAGACAACUAGGAGGUUGGCUUAGAAGCAGCCACCCUUGAAAGAGUGCGUAAUAGCUCACUAGUCGAGUGAGGCGGCGCCGAAAAUGUAACGGGGCUCAAGCAUCGAACCGAAGCUAUGGGAUUACGCAAGUAAUCGGUAGGGGAGCGUUGUCGCGUAGGCUGAAGCCAGACCGUGAGGACUGGUGGACGAACGACAAGUGCGAAUGCAGGUAUAAGUAGCGAGAAAUGCGGGUGAGAACCCCGCACGCCGGAAGUCUAAGGUUUCCUGAGCUACGUCAAUCGUCUCAGGGUGAGUCGGGUCCUAAGCCGAGGCUGAGAAGCGUAGGCGAUGGCCAAGCCGUUCAUAUUCGGCUACCACCGACGUCAGUUUAGACUUUCUCGAACAGCGGCCGGCCACGAGCGAUCGUGGUCGUUUGGUGUUCGUUGAAGUCUAUGAAGUGAAGGGAUGACGCAGGAGGAUAGGUCAGCACACUAUCGGAUGUGUGUCGAAGCAGGUAGGGGGUCAGAUAGGCAAAUCCGUCUGGCAACUCCGAGAUGCGAGUGCGAGGACCCUUGUGGUCCGAAGUGAUUGACUCCACGCUGCCAAGAAAAGUCUCUAGCAAUGACAUAGGUGCCCGUACCGUACACCGACACAGGUAGACUGGCAGAGCAUGCUAAGGCGACGGGAGAACCCCUGUUAAGGAACUCGGCAAAUUAACCCCGUAACUUUGGGAGAAGGGGUGCCCCUUUUGGUCUAGUCUUCACGACGAAAGCUGAGGGGGGUCGCAGUGAAUAGGCCCAAGCGACUGUUUAACAAAAACACAGGUCUCUGCGAACGCGAAAGCGGACGUAUAGGGGCUGACUCCUGCCCGGUGCUGGAAGGUUANNUGAAGCCCCAGUAAACGGCGGCGGUAACUAUAACCGUCCUAAGGUAGCGAAAUUCCUUGUCGGGUAAGUUCCGACCUGCACGAAUGGAGUAACGACUUGGGCACUGUCUCGAUGGGGGGCCCGGCGAAAUUGCAGUACCAGUGAAGAUGCUGGUUACCCGCGGCAGGACGGAAAGACCCCAUGAAGCUUUACUGUAUCCUGAUGUUGGGUCUUGAGAUUUUCUGUACAGGAUAGGUGGGAGCCGACGAUCCGCGGGCGCUAGCUCGCGGGGAGGCAACCUUGGGAUACCACCCUGAAAAUCUUGGGAUUCUAACCUACAGCCGUAAUCCGGCUGGGAGACAGCGUCAGGUGGGCAGUUUGACUGGGGCGGUCGCCUCCUAAAGAGUAACGGAGGCGCCCAAAGGUUCCCUCAGAACGGUCAGAAACCGUUCGUUGAGUGCAUAGGCAAAAGGGAGCUUGACUGCGAGACGGACAGGUCGAGCAGGUACGAAAGUAGGGCUAAGUGAUCCGGCGGUACCGAAUGGAAGGGCCGUCGCUUAUCGGAUAAAAGCUACUCUGGGGAUAACAGGCUUAUCUCCCCCAAGAGUCCACAUCGACGGGGAGGUUUGGCACCUCGAUGUCGGAUCGUCGCAUCCUGGGGCUGUAGUAGGUCCCAAGGGUUGGGCUGUUCGCCCAUUAAAGCGGUACGCGAUCUGGGUUCAGAACGUCGUGAGACAGUUCGGUCCCUAUCCGCCGUGGGCGUAGGAGAUUUGAGGAGUGUCGACCCUAGUACGAGAGGACCGGGUUGAACGAACCUCUGGUGAACCGGUUGUCGUGCCAACGGCAUAGCCGGGUAGCUACGUUCGGAUCAGAUAAACGCUGAAAGCAUAUAAGCGUGAAACUGACUUCAAGAUGAGAUCUCAACCUCGAAAGAGUGAAGGGUCGUGGGAGACUACCACGUUGA
The sequence is a ribosomal RNA, 2929 nucleotides long. It matches the Rfam family "Bacterial large subunit ribosomal RNA".